UGAGAUUCUGUGCUCACUGAGCUCCUACCC
RNAcentral lists this non-coding RNA (30 nucleotides) under Rattus norvegicus (Norway rat). The record is from RNAcentral. Lineage: Eukaryota; Metazoa; Chordata; Mammalia; Rodentia; Muridae.